RNAcentral lists this ribosomal RNA (673 nucleotides) under uncultured bacterium. Its description in RNAcentral is "bacterial SSU rRNA". It matches the Rfam family "Bacterial small subunit ribosomal RNA", at positions 139 to 808 of the family's 1533-position model. The record is from RNAcentral.
GGGGAUAAGCGGCGGAAACGCCGUCUAAUACCGCGUGACAACCCGAGGGGGCAUCCCCUUGGGUUCAAAGGAGAGAUCCGGUACCGGCUGGGCAUGCGGCGCAUUAGCUAGUUGGCGGGGCAACGGCCCACCAAGGCGACGAUGCGUAGGGGUUCUGAGAGGAAGGUCCCCCACACUGAAACUGAGACACGGUCCAGACUCCUACGGGAGGCAGCAGUGAGGAAUAUUGGUCAAUGGGCGCAAGCCUGAACCAGCCAAGUCGCGUGAGGGAAGACGGCCCUACGGGUUGUAAACCUCUUUUGCCGGGGAGCAAGCCUGAGCACGUGUGCCCAGGCGGAGAGUACCCGGAGAAAAAGCAUCGGCUAACUCCGUGCCAGCAGCCGCGGUAAUACGGAGGAUGCGAGCGUUAUCCGGAUUUAUUGGGUUUAAAGGGUGCGCAGGCGGGCUGUUAAGCCGGCGGUAAAAAUUCAGGGCUCAACCCUGUCGAGCCGUCGGAACUGGCAGUCUUGAGUGGGCGAGAAGUAUGCGGAAUGCGUGGUGUAGCGGUGAAAUGCAUAGAUAUCACGCAGAACGCCGAUUGCGAAGGCAGCAUACCGGCGCCCAACUGACGCUGAGGCACGAAAGCGUGGGGAUCGAACAGGAUUAGAUACCCUGGUAGUCCACGCAGUAAACG